Molecule: long non-coding RNA, 1206 nt
Organism: Rhinolophus ferrumequinum (greater horseshoe bat)
Lineage: Eukaryota; Metazoa; Chordata; Mammalia; Chiroptera; Rhinolophidae
Exons: 3
Source: RefSeq, a predicted model, not a curated record
GCAGCUCUGUCAGAGGUGGAAGCUCAGGGAUGACUUGUCAUGCACUAGAGAUUAAGGCCAACCCAAGAUGGCCACUUGGUAAACCUUUUCCAAGCCCUUAGUUUCUUCUCCUCUUCAUUUCCCUAUCAGUUUUCCUCUCCCAGGGGAGCCCUAAGAUUGAGGGCAGGGCAUUGCCCCAACUAGACACAAUGCUGGGGAUGUGGCCUCACCUGUAAAGUGCUCCAUGGGUCUGCCCCAAGUCCAGGAGCACCAGCAACAGAAGGACAAGCAUUUCCAUGGAAGAAAUUCUUCAAUGUCGGACCCUAGAGAUCAUCCAAUACAUAUCACCAAGUUUAAUGUCAGUCAAACCUGGGUUUGAAUCCUGGGUAUGGCACCUUGCAAACAAGGAAACUAGAUUCAGAGAAAAGCGAUUUAUUUAAGAACAUAUGGCCAUUUGUGGCAGAGCCAAGACUAGAUCCAGGCAUCCCAUCCCGGUCCUCUUUCUACUGUACCACACACCACAUGGCGGAUUUUCCUUCAUUCAUCAACUUCAAGCAGAACCAGGUUGGGACAUUCUCCAGUUGACCAUGUUAGUGCUGAGCUGUGAUCCUGCCGGAGCCAGGGCCAGCAGCAUCCUGGAUUGCUGGCUCGCCUGCGUUCAGGAGCCAGCUGAGCAUGAACGGGAGGCAGCUGCUUGUGUGUUACAUUAACACACUGCCUCUAGGGCUAUCCUACCCUGAUAAAGCUGACUUCCACAGAGCACUGAGCAACUGUCCUCUUAUUGCAAAUUUUUAUUCUGGAAGCUGAAGUUCCAGAAAGGAGAAGUUGAUUGGACAGUAUCACUAUCAUCAUCCCCACCAGCUUUCAAACAUUCUGGAAACAGACAAAGCCUCUGUAUCCAACCAGCCUCCAAUCUAUAUCCCUGAGGGGCUCUUUCUGUCUCCAGAGCCCCUUUCCCAGUGCUGAGAGGCUGGAUCAUUGCCUAUACUAUACACCUAUUAGAAAAAAUGGUUUCUGAUGCUUAGUGUGACUGAUGCCAUCUUAAGAAGCAAGUUGCUCUCAGUGACCCAGUUCACCCCGGGAUGGGUGGGCCUGUAUCACCUGAAAGGAAUGUUCUUACAUAGGAAAGUGGGCCUUUAAGUUGUUUACUGCUUUGGAAUAUACAGCUUAAAAAGCAUGUGCCUCGCGGCUACAAGCCUCCUGUGUUCCUGGAGACUAUACGUAUUA